This 497-nucleotide ribosomal RNA is filed under the name uncultured bacterium. RNAcentral describes it as "partial 16S ribosomal RNA". It matches the Rfam family "Bacterial small subunit ribosomal RNA", at positions 28 to 507 of the family's 1533-position model. The record is from RNAcentral.
GAUGAACGCUGGCGGCGUGCCUAAUACAUGCAAGUCGAGCGAACAGACGAGGAGCUUGCUCCUUUGACGUUAGCGGCGGACGGGUGAGUAACACGUGGAUAACCUACCUAUAAGACUGGGAUAACUUCGGGAAACCGGAGCUAAUACCGGAUAACAUGUUGAACCGCAUGGUUCAACAGUGAAAGACGGUCUUGCUGUCACUUAUAGAUGGAUCCGCGCCGCAUUAGCUAGUUGGUAAGGUAACGGCUUACCAAGGCAACGAUGCGUAGCCGACCUGAGAGGUUGAUCGGCCACACUGGAACUGAGCCACGGUCCAGACUCCUACGGUAGGCAGCAGUAUGGAAUCUUCCGCAAUGGGCGAAACCCUGACGGAGCAACGCCGCGUGAGUGAAGAAGGUCUUCGGAUCGUAAAACUCUGUUAUUAGGGAAGAACAAAUGUGUAAGUAACUAUGCACGUCUUGACGGUCCCUAAUCAGAAAGCCACGGCUAACUACGUG